ACCGGCGCACGGGUGCGUAACGCGUAUGCAAUCUACCUCGUACAGAGGGAUAGCCCAGAGAAAUUUGGAUUAAUACCUCAUAGUAUUAUCGAAUGGCAUCAUUUGAUUAUUAAAGUUCCAACGGUACAAGAUGAGCAUGUGUCCCAUUAGUUAGUUGGUAAGGUAACGGCUUACCAAGACGAUGAUGGGUAGGGGUCCUGAGAGGGAGAUCCCCCACACUGGUACUGAGACACGGACCAGACUCCUACGGGAGGCAGCAGUGAGGAAUAUUGGACAAUGGGCGCAAGCCUGAUCCAGCCAUGCCGCGUGCAGGAUGAAGCAUCUAUGGUGUGUAAACUGCUUUUAUACAGGAAGAAACCCUACCACGUGUGGUAGAUUGACGGUACUGUAGGAAUAAGGAUCGGCUAACUCCGUGCCAGCAGCCGCGGUAAUACGGAGGAUCCAAGCGUUAUCCGGAAUCAUUGGGUUUAAAGGGUCCGUAGGCGGUUUUGUAAGUCAGUGGUGAAAUCUGGUCGCUUAACGAUCAAACGGCCAUUGAUACUGCAAGACUUGAAUUAUUGGGAAGUAACUAGAAUAUGUAGUGUAGCGGUGAAAUGCUU
Molecule: ribosomal RNA, 599 nt
Filed under: uncultured Flavobacterium sp.
Lineage: Bacteria; Pseudomonadati; Bacteroidota; Flavobacteriia; Flavobacteriales; Flavobacteriaceae
Description: bacterial SSU rRNA
Rfam family: Bacterial small subunit ribosomal RNA
Source: RNAcentral